RNAcentral lists this long non-coding RNA (311 nucleotides) under Nicotiana benthamiana. RNAcentral describes it as "long non-coding RNA (NBEN_LNC033718)". Lineage: Eukaryota; Viridiplantae; Streptophyta; Magnoliopsida; Solanales; Solanaceae. The record is from RNAcentral.
AUAAUUCCUCUUUUCUUCUGCAAAUCCAUAUGUGAUAAGACUUGGAAUUCAACUCAAGUUGAAAACUUAAGGGAGAAAGGCUGGUAACUUUUUUUUUUCUUUUUCUUUUUAUUCAAUCAUAAAUUCUUGGUUCAAAUAUGAUAUUCUUCACAUUUUUCUCUUUAGAUUUAUUUAUUUUAAUAGGGAAACGAUGUUCGACAGUGUUAUGAAUACAUGUUGUCACCAAAAAUUCAAGCCUCGGUCAUCUGUCUUCACUUUCUCUUGCACGUUCAAUCAUAAAUUAGAAGAAGCUAGCAUUUUUUUUAGUUUUU